GACGAACGCUGGCGGCGUGCCUAAUACAUGCAAGUCGAACGGUGAAGCUCCAAGCUUGCUUGGGGUGGAUCAGUGGCGAACGGGUGAGUAACACGUGAGUAACCUGCCCCGGACUCUGGAAUAAGCGCUGGAAACUGCGUCUAAUACUGGAUAUGACAUCAAGCCGCAUGGUUAUGGUGUGGAAAGGUUUUCGGUCCGGGAUGGGCUCGCGGCCUAUCAGCUUGUUGGUGAGGUAAUGGCUCACCAAGGCGACGACGGGGAGCCGGCCUGAUAGGGCGACGCGCCACACUAGGACUGCGACACGGCCCAGACGCAUACGGGAUGAGGCAUUGGGUAAUAUUGCCCACUGGGCGAAAGACUGAGUCAGCGACGCCGCGUGCGGCAUGACGGCCUUCGAGUUGUAAACCUCUUUCAGCAGGGAAGAAGCGAAAGUGAGGGUACAUGCAGAAGAAGCACCGGCUGAGGACGUGCAAGCCGCCGCCGUAA
This 486-nucleotide ribosomal RNA is filed under the name uncultured bacterium. RNAcentral describes it as "partial 16S ribosomal RNA". It matches the Rfam family "Bacterial small subunit ribosomal RNA", at positions 28 to 523 of the family's 1533-position model. The record is from RNAcentral.